UCCUACUCUGCAGUCCUGUUCCAGCCACAGAAGAAGCAAGAUGUGACUGCCCCACAAAAUAAGGGAAACAGAACAAGGGCUGUGGGGGCUUCUCAUCCUCAGAAGAAUCGUCAAAGCGUGUGUCUGGAGAGAGGCAAAGCGUUUGAGUCAGAUGUUUGAUCAGCGGGAUCGCUGCAUAAUGAGGUUGCACAUUCCACCUCCCAAUCUGAUGUGUGUAGCUGGAAACUGACGCAAUUUUCCAGCUGAAACAGCUCAUCAUCAUGAUAAGCACAGAAUGUGUGUUACAGACCACCUCCUCUGCCAUCUGCGAAAGGAGCACACACAGUAGGAGGGCAUGACGGCUACAAUAUGCGGCGCCGCCUAAUAAAAACCAGCUAAGAACAGCUGUUAGCAAGAGGAGUGCUCCAGUCCCUUCUAAUUUAUUCAUUAUUUUACAUGCCAAAGUGUUAUCAGAGUCCCAUCAACUUCGUUUCAUAUUAGAGGAAUUUCACAUAAGCUCUCCUGAGAGAAGCAAGCUCCUCAGGCUCCCCCUACAAAAGAAUCCAAUUAAGAUCUCUUUCACAGAAACUGACUUCCCAGGAAGCCAAGACUUGAUUUUGCUCUUAGACCCUCCUGUCACACGGUUGAGUGCAACAAAACUGUUGGGGAUGUAAGGCUCAGGUUGAUAGCUCAGAGACUGAAUGCCCCUGUGCUGUACACCUUAGAAACUCAUCCUGAACUCCUUUGACCCCUACUGGUCUUCUUGGAUGACCUCACAAUCUCAGCUAUAAUCAGCAUCUUUUGAAUCUGUUCUUAAUUCUAGAUGAAAGUGGUUCUCAGAAUGUCUUAACAGCAUGGAUUCCUUACUUCCUAAUCCAAGGGACUUAAAAAAAAGUUCAAGAUAUUCUGAUUUUAUAUAAAUAAUAUAAAGUGAAACAUAAAAGGGAAUUAACAGUGACUGUUUCAACUAUUGGGGUAAUAGUGAAUUAUACUUUAAGUUUUCUGAAUUAUUAAAUAACAUUGAAUGAGCUAUAUUCUUACAUUGUACAGACAAUAAUUUCUAAUGUAUGAAGUUGCUUUUGCCAUAUUAUGCCUUUGACAUUAUAACAAACUAGUGAGAGAUAAUAUAAUUAGUUUGAGGUCAAAUAAGGUGCUUGACUCAAGAACACUUAGCUUAAACGGAAUAGUAAGUGAGCCAUUUGAUGUCAGGAUGUUUCAAAGGUCAAUAUUUGUUGCUCAAUCUCAUUCAUUUGCUUCAAAAGUUAUGUUUUUAGACAUCAAUCUUUAAAUAUGCUUGAAAGGAGAUGUAUUAUGAAAAAAUGUGCAAAGACUACUAUUAAUUUUUAAUGUCUCGGUCAACAAUUUACUUCUUCACCCUGAGAUGAACUUGAAGAAAUAAUAACAUUUUUACAAUUUCAUCAGAUAGAGCAGUAAUACAACAAAAUAGGUUUUGUGUUAUUUGGCUAUUGCCAUUUACAUGUACUUAAUGAUCACAAGAACAGAAAGAGGCAGCAGGCAGACAGACAAAAAGAGAGAAAGAGAAGGAAGAGGAAAGAGAGGAAGAGAGAAAGAGAGAGAGAGAGAGAGAGA
Molecule: long non-coding RNA, 1569 nt
Organism: Arvicola amphibius (Eurasian water vole)
Lineage: Eukaryota; Metazoa; Chordata; Mammalia; Rodentia; Cricetidae
Exons: 3
Source: RefSeq, a predicted model, not a curated record